RNAcentral lists this ribosomal RNA (506 nucleotides) under uncultured bacterium. RNAcentral describes it as "partial 16S ribosomal RNA". It matches the Rfam family "Bacterial small subunit ribosomal RNA", at positions 29 to 523 of the family's 1533-position model. The record is from RNAcentral.
AGUGAACGCUGGCGGUAGGCCUAACACAUGCAAGUCGAACGGCAGCACAGGAGAGCUUGCUCUCUGGGUGGCGAGUGGCGGACGGGUGAGGAAUACAUCGGAAUCUACUCUGUCGUGGGGGAUGACGUAGGGAAACUUACGCUAAUACCGCAUCCGACCUACGGGUGAAAGCAGGGGAUCUUCGGACCUUGCGCGAUUGAAUGAGCCGAUGUCGGAUUAGCUAGUUGGCGGGGUAAAGGCCCACCAAGGCGACGAUCCGUAGCUGGUCUGAGCGGAUGAUCAGCCACACUGGAGCUGGGACACGGUCCAGACUCCUACGGGAGGCAGCAGUGGGGAAUAUUGGACAAGAGGCGCAAGCCUGAUCCAGCCAUACCGCGUGGGUGAAGAAGGCCUUCGGGUUGUAAAGCCCUUUUGUUGGGAAAGAAAUCCAGCUGGCUAAUACCCGGUUGGGAUGACGGUACCCAAAGAAUAAGCACCGGCUAACUUCGUGCCAGCAGCCGCCGUAA